This 252-nucleotide ribosomal RNA is filed under the name uncultured bacterium. RNAcentral describes it as "partial 16S ribosomal RNA". It matches the Rfam family "Bacterial small subunit ribosomal RNA", at positions 524 to 776 of the family's 1533-position model. The record is from RNAcentral.
UACGGAGGGUGCAAGCGUUAAUCGGAAUUACUGGGCGUAAAGGGUGCGUAGGUGGUUUGUUAAGUUAUCUGUGAAAUCCCUGGGCUCAACCUGGGCAGGUCAGAUAAGACUGAUGAACUCGAGUAUAGGAGAGGUAGUGGAAUUUCCGGUGUAGCGGUGAAAUGCGUAGAGAUCGGAAGGAACACCAGUGGCGAAGGCGGCUACCUGGCCUAAUACUGACACUGAGGCACGAAAGCGUGGGGAGCAAACAGG